CGGAUGCCUCGACUCUGCAUUCCGACGAAGGACGUGGCCAGCUGCGAUAAGCUUCGGUGAGCCGCUAGGCAGGCGCUAUGAACCGGAGAUUUCCGAAUGGGGAAACCCCCGAGGAGUUAUGUCCUCGGACCUGGUCUCUCUUUUGUUUUUGAUGGGAAGAAGAGUUUAUUACGUUGAUUAGGUGAUUAGGUUUAUUGGGAACCCAAUAAACGUAAUCAACUUAAAAAACCCAAUAAACUUUUUCCAGAAUUAAAUAAUGAACAAUGCCCAUCGAAAUCAUAAGUGAGACCAGGGGGUCACUCUGUGAACUGAAACAUCUCACGUAACAGAGGAAAAGAAAUCAUAAGAGAUUCCCUUAGUAGUGGCGAGCGAACAGGGAACAGCCCAAACCCA
RNAcentral lists this ribosomal RNA (393 nucleotides) under Candidatus Peregrinibacteria bacterium. RNAcentral's name for it is "partial 23S ribosomal RNA". It matches the Rfam family "Bacterial large subunit ribosomal RNA", at positions 26 to 277 of the family's 2925-position model. Lineage: Bacteria; Candidatus Peregrinibacteriota. The record is from RNAcentral.